UGCUCUGUGGCGCAAUUGGUUAGCGCGUCUGACUGUUACCUUCCUUGGGACACGAGUUUCAUUCGGAAUCAGGAGGCUGUGAGUUCGAGUCUCACCGGAGCAG
Tulasnella sp. JGI-2019a is the source of this 103-nucleotide non-coding RNA. The record is from the annotation of a GenBank genome assembly. Lineage: Eukaryota; Fungi; Basidiomycota; Agaricomycetes; Cantharellales; Tulasnellaceae.